Xiphophorus couchianus (Monterrey platyfish) is the source of this 1067-nucleotide long non-coding RNA. RefSeq lists it as uncharacterized. The record is from RefSeq and is a predicted model, not a curated record. The transcript has 3 exons. Lineage: Eukaryota; Metazoa; Chordata; Actinopteri; Cyprinodontiformes; Poeciliidae.
ACACGGUGUAAACGAUUUCCAAACCCUUUCAAAAAUCUGUUCCUCUCCUCGCCUGUGGGGGCGCUGCGACCAGAACUACUGAAGGAAAACGACACGAAAUCCUCCGAGGAAGACACUGAGCGCAACUUUCUUCUUCACGAGACGUAAACAAAAAUGGCGUGGCGUCCGCUUGUUAACGGACAGGAAAGGAAUUGUAUGUUUGUAUAUGUACAAAAGAGAAAUCCUGCGACCAUUGGAGUAUGACGCAGUUGACACAGUGCAGCGGGAAAGUGAACAGCAGUAGCUGCAAAUAUAACAAAUGUCGCAAUUUUGGUCCAAUCAAACCGAGUCUACCGGAUUAUCAGGGGUGAAAACACAACAGUGGAAGAUGCUUCAUUCAGGAGGCCUGGAGAUCUGCAGGUGUUUCUGAUCUUAGGUCAAAGUUCCUGAUUCACAAUAAAAAAGAGAGAGACUGGCAUCCAUGGGAUGGUUAACAGCAACACAGCAGUUUAGAAAAACGGACAUCGUUUGGACAGUUAGUGACAGGUUUUGAUUUUCCACCUCGUCCUGUUAAUCUUUAGCUCAAAAGCUUCAGCGCUGCGUUUAACGAGGUACAACUGGGUAAUUUGAAGAAAUGACGACCUGGGAGCAUUUCUGUGGAUGUUGGUGUCAUAAAAGCAAAGUGGAUCAAGUGAAUCUCACACGGAGCAGCGUGGCCGGGUAACAGGCCUGUUGCUUCAGGACCAGCUGGGAGGAAUCCUGCAUCAGCACCGGAUCCUGGAUACUCAGAAUAUUCUACGAAAAUUAAAACAAAGUGAGGUGGGAUGAACUCUACAACUCACCCAAUGACCACUGACCACAAGCAGGCAGGGACAACGGAUAGAUGGACAUCUGGAGACUUUGUUGACAGUAAGCGUGCCAGAACCAGAACACUACCUUCCACUCUGAGGCCAGAACAACCAUGAGCCCUAAAGACAUUGCAGUCCAGAUGUAUCAGUCGGUCUUGUCGUGUGGUUUUUAUGCUUGUGAGUUGUUAGUCAGUAAAUGUUUGGUCAAAGCCAUUAAAAAGUGUUGUAGCUGUUUAUGCA